RNAcentral lists this ribosomal RNA (512 nucleotides) under uncultured Sphingobacterium sp. RNAcentral's name for it is "bacterial SSU rRNA". It matches the Rfam family "Bacterial small subunit ribosomal RNA", at positions 9 to 513 of the family's 1533-position model. The record is from RNAcentral. Lineage: Bacteria; Pseudomonadati; Bacteroidota; Sphingobacteriia; Sphingobacteriales; Sphingobacteriaceae.
GAGUUUGAUCAUGGCUCAGGAUGAACGCUAGCGGCAGGCUUAAUACAUGCAAGUCGUGGGGCAGCAUGACUGUAGCAAUACAGUUGAUGGCGACCGGCAAACGGGUGCGGAACACGUACACAACCUUCCUUUAAGUGGGGGAUAGCCCAGGGAAACUUGGAUUAAUACCCCGUAAUAUAUAGAGACGGCAUCGUUUUUAUAUUAUAGCAGCAAUGCGCUUGAAGAUGGGUGUGCGGCUGAUUAGAUAGUUGGCGGGGUAACGGCCCACCAAGUCGACGAUCAGUAACUGGUGUGAGAGCACGACCAGUCACACGGGCACUGAGACACGGGCCCGACUCCUACGGGAGGCAGCAGUAAGGAAUAUUGGUCAAUGGACGCAAGUCUGAACCAGCCAUGCCGCGUGGAGGAUGAAGGUCCUCUGGAUUGUAAACUUCUUUUAUCUGGGAAGAAAAAGGGAUUCUUUCCGUCUGACGGUACCAGAUGAAUAAGCACCGGCUAACUCCGUGCCAGCC